This 517-nucleotide ribosomal RNA is filed under the name uncultured soil bacterium. RNAcentral's name for it is "bacterial SSU rRNA". It matches the Rfam family "Bacterial small subunit ribosomal RNA", at positions 26 to 515 of the family's 1533-position model. The record is from RNAcentral.
AGAAUCAACGCUGGCGGCGUGCCUAACACAUGCAAGUCGAACGCGAAAGGGGAGCAAUCCCUGAGUAGAGUGGCAAACGGGUGAGUAACACGUGGGUGACCUGCCUUCGAGUGGGGGAUAACGUUCCGAAAGGAACGCUAAUACCGCAUGACAUCCUGCUUUUGGAAAAGCGGAGAUCAAAGCUGGGGAUUCGCAAGAACCUAGCGCUUGAAGAGGGGCCCGCGCCUGAUUAGCUAGUUGGUGAGGUAACGGCUCACCAAGGCUACGAUCAGUAUCCGGCCUGAGAGGGCGACGGACACACUGGGACUGGAGACACGGCCCAGACUCCUACGGAGGCAGCAGUGGGAAUGUUCGCAAUGGGCGCAAGCCUGACGACGCAACGCGCGUGGAGGAUGAAGAUUUUUCGGAUCGUAAACUCCUGUCGAGUGGGAAGAAUAGACCUAAGGGUAAAUAUACCCCCAAAGGUCUAGACGGUACACGUAAAGGUAACGCCCGGACUAACCUCCGUACGCCGAGC